RNAcentral lists this ribosomal RNA (415 nucleotides) under uncultured bacterium. RNAcentral's name for it is "bacterial SSU rRNA". It matches the Rfam family "Bacterial small subunit ribosomal RNA", at positions 362 to 774 of the family's 1533-position model. The record is from RNAcentral.
UAUUGGUCAAUGGGCGAGAGCCUGAACCAGCCAAGUCGCGUGAAGGAUGACGGAUCUAUGGUUUGUAAACUUCUUUUAUAUGGGAAUAAAGUGAGGAACGUGUUCCUUUUUGUAUGUACCAUAUGAAUAAGCAUCGGCUAACUCCGUUCCCGCAGCCGCAGUAAUACGGAGGAUGCGAGCGUUAUCCGGAUUUAAUGGGUUUAAAGGGUGCGUAGGUGGUUAAUUAAGUCAGCGGUGAAAGUUUGUGGCUCAACCAUAAAAUUGCCGUUGAAACUGGUUGACUUGAGUAUAUUUGAGGUAGGCGGAAUGCGGGGUGUAGCGGUGAAAUGCAUAGAUAUCACGCAGAACUCCGAUUGCGAAGGCAGCUUACUAAACUAUAACUGACACUGAAGCACGAGAGCGUGGGGAUCAAACA